GUGCUCACUUGGUCUGCCCAUCUAAGAAAAUUGAACAAUACAGAGAAAAUAAGGAUGGCCCCUGCACAAGGAUGACACACCAAUUCAGGAAGAAUCGGCCUUUGCA
Suricata suricatta (meerkat) is the source of this 106-nucleotide small nuclear RNA. The record is from Ensembl. NCBI's taxonomy places the organism in Eukaryota, Metazoa, Chordata, Mammalia, Carnivora, Herpestidae.